ACGGCCAUACUACAUUGAAAACACCGGUUCUCGUCCGAUCACCGAAGUUAAGCAAUGUCGGGCCCUGUCAGUAUUUGGGAGGGUGACCACCUGGUAACACCGGGUGCUGUAGGCU
RNAcentral lists this ribosomal RNA (115 nucleotides) under Cordylochernes scorpioides. Lineage: Eukaryota; Metazoa; Arthropoda; Arachnida; Pseudoscorpiones; Chernetidae. The record is from RNAcentral.